This 495-nucleotide ribosomal RNA is filed under the name uncultured bacterium. RNAcentral describes it as "partial 16S ribosomal RNA". It matches the Rfam family "Bacterial small subunit ribosomal RNA", at positions 28 to 507 of the family's 1533-position model. The record is from RNAcentral.
GACGAACGCUGGCGGCGUGCCUAAUACAUGCAAGUAGAACGCUGAAGGAGGAGCUUGCUUCUCUGGAUGAGUUGCGAACGGGUGAGUAACGCGUAGGUAACCUGCCUGGUAUCGGGGGAUAACUAUUGGAAACGAUAGCUAAUACCGCAUAAUAGUAGAUGUUGCAUGACAUUUGCUUAAAAGGUGCAAUUGCAUCACUACCAGAUGGACCUGCGUUGUAUUAGCUAGUUGGUGGGGUAACGGCGCACCAAGGCGACGAUACAUAGCCGACCGCGGAGGGGGGUCGGCCACACUGGGACUGAGACACGGCCCAGAGUCCUGCGGGAGGCAGCAGUAGGGAAUCUUCGGCAAUGGACGGAAGUCUGACCGAGCAACGCCGCGUGAGUGGCGAAGGUUUUCGGUUCGUAAAGCUCUGUUGUGAGAGAAGAACGAGUGUGAGAGUGGAAAGUUCACACUGUGACGGUAUCUUACCAGAAAGGGACGGCUAACUACGUG